Molecule: ribosomal RNA, 961 nt
Filed under: Enterococcus sp.
Lineage: Bacteria; Bacillati; Bacillota; Bacilli; Lactobacillales; Enterococcaceae
Description: bacterial SSU rRNA
Rfam family: Bacterial small subunit ribosomal RNA
Source: RNAcentral
CAGUCGAACGCUUCUUUUUCCACCGGAGCUUGCUCCACCGGAAAAAGAGGAGUGGCGAACGGGUGAGUAACACGUGGGUAACCUGCCCAUCAGAAGGGGAUAACACUUGGAAACAGGUGCUAAUACCGUAUAACAAUCGAAACCGCAUGGUUUUGAUUUGAAAGGCGCUUUCGGGUGUCGCUGAUGGAUGGACCCGCGGUGCAUUAGCUAGUUGGUGAGGUAACGGCUCACCAAGGCCACGAUGCAUAGCCGACCUGAGAGGGUGAUCGGCCACAUUGGGACUGAGACACGGCCCAAACUCCUACGGGAGGCAGCAGUAGGGAAUCUUCGGCAAUGGACGAAAGUCUGACCGAGCAACGCCGCGUGAGUGAAGAAGGUUUUCGGAUCGUAAAACUCUGUUGUUAGAGAAGAACAAGGAUGAGAGUAACUGUUCAUCCCUUGACGGUAUCUAACCAGAAAGCCACGGCUAACUACGUGCCAGCAGCCGCGGUAAUACGUAGGUGGCAAGCGUUGUCCGGAUUUAUUGGGCGUAAAGCGAGCGCAGGCGGUUUCUUAAGUCUGAUGUGAAAGCCCCCGGCUCAACCGGGGAGGGUCAUUGGAAACUGGGAGACUUGAGUGCAGAAGAGGAGAGUGGAAUUCCAUGUGUAGCGGUGAAAUGCGUAGAUAUAUGGAGGAACACCAGUGGCGAAGGCGGCUCUCUGGUCUGUAACUGACGCUGAGGCUCGAAAGCGUGGGGAGCAAACAGGAUUAGAUACCCUGGUAGUCCACGCCGUAAACGAUGAGUGCUAAGUGUUGGAGGGUUUCCGCCCUUCAGUGCUGCAGCUAACGCAUUAAGCACUCCGCCUGGGGAGUACGACCGCAAGGUUGAAACUCAAAGGAAUUGACGGGGGCCCGCACAAGCGGUGGAGCAUGUGGUUUAAUUCGAAGCAACGCGAAGAACCUUACCAGGUCUUGACAUCCU